RNAcentral lists this transfer RNA (71 nucleotides) under Colletotrichum noveboracense. RNAcentral describes it as "tRNA-Xxx". Lineage: Eukaryota; Fungi; Ascomycota; Sordariomycetes; Glomerellales; Glomerellaceae. The record is from RNAcentral.
GGUGGAGUGGCCGAGUGGUUAAGGCGCUGUGUUGUACCCUCAGACGUCCGAGUUCGAUUCUGUUACUAACA